Molecule: long non-coding RNA, 460 nt
Filed under: Rosa chinensis
Lineage: Eukaryota; Viridiplantae; Streptophyta; Magnoliopsida; Rosales; Rosaceae
Description: sRNA RchiOBHm_Chr2g0121021
Source: RNAcentral
UCUUCCCUUCUCCGGCGAAUUCGUCGCCGUCCGGCCACCCCAAGACGCAUCGUUAGGCACGGCGUGAUCCUCUCUUCCUUCUCCUUCUAGCUAUCUUGUUUUGGGCUGUAGAGGAAGAAUUGAAGGUGUUUGGGGACGUGAACAGUAGCGUGAACAGUUCCAUCCGAGUUCUUGAGUUUGGGUUUGGAAUUUCCAGCUUUUUCUGCUUGUUUUGGAUGUGAUUGCUGGGGGUGUUGUGGAGAUAAUUUUGAGCUAAAUAGAGAUGGAAUUGACGUACUGAGCCCUCGAGCGAGGAGGACACAGACAGGCAGCAGGGUUAGCUGCGGGAUUUACUAAUUUCAGAUUAGCAGAGAUUGCAUCCAGGCUCAAGGACUUUGGAAAUCAGCGAUUCCGUUUUUGUCCGUAGGUUAUUACUUAACCUACCUUGUAUGAUAUCGGCUUAGUUUAGUGUUGCUCUGAU